This is a long non-coding RNA of Gasterosteus aculeatus aculeatus (three-spined stickleback), 1075 nucleotides long. Lineage: Eukaryota; Metazoa; Chordata; Actinopteri; Perciformes; Gasterosteidae. The record is from Ensembl.
GCCUUUAAGCCAUUUCUCAGGCGUUCAGAUAAGCAGCAGCAUACUGAUGUGUAACAGUAAAUGAAGAUCGCACACAUGAAGUUUCACGUUUAAAUAAAAAGUCCUUUCGGGAUGAUUUCCUCUGGAUUGAUGUCGUCAUAACGUUAGUGAUGAAAAGUUGAUACGAGACAAUCCUGCUUUCACCACGUUCUACCAUUUGGGAGGAGUUAGUCUUUAGGAGGACAUAUAGUGUCCACUUCAUAUGUCCUUCAAUUUAUUACCUUUUCACAAUUACUGCAAGUGUCCCCUCCCCCCCCCCCCCCCUCACCUCAGCGUCCUCCAGCUCCACGUCUAAAAAGUCAAAGUCCUUGAAGACACCGAACUGCUGCUCGCUGCCCGUGUCUUCUCCCUGCAGCUCCUCCUCUCUGACCACCUCCUCCACCGUGGGGAUGAGACUGGUCUGCUGGUCCGCCGAGUCCAGCUCACUGGCACCAGACCGUUGGAGUUGGAGCCGGAGGAGGUGGAGGAGGUGCUCCUGGUGACGGCUAUGACCUGCGGCUUUCCGUUCCGCCCGGCCGCGGCGCGCUGGUCGCCGUACUUGUGCCCUAUGAUCGGCGUCUGUGGAGUCAAACUUGGGCGAGUUAGCGUCAGCGGGACACCGAGCGCAUCGCCAGUGGAGCCGCGGGACACCGACCUCCGAGAUGUCGAAGUGGAAGUCCAGCGUUUUGCCGGGCAGCUCCUUGGAAGAGUUGUUGAAGAUGCGCGUGAAGGCGAUUUCCGGGGAUCCGCAGGACUCGGUGCUGUAGGAGCGCUGCGCGUCGUCGGGGACGACGAGGCUGGCUGAGCGGGACACCACCAGCUUCAGGAUGUUCUGAGCCUCCUUCCAGUGGGGGCUCUGCGAGAGACAAACACAAUGAGAGCGCUGUGACGCGUCGGGCUGCGUACGCGUCCGCGGAGGAUUCCUGAAUGUGAGCGGGACAUAUUUUCCCCUCGGGAGGCUGAAACUGCAGCCGAGCCGCCGCCCCAUCGGAGGCCGCCGGUAUCCCGUAACAUUUCAGCGGCUCUGAAGGGGAGGCUCGCUGUGCUCGACCAUCAA